Triticum aestivum (bread wheat) is the source of this 135-nucleotide non-coding RNA. Lineage: Eukaryota; Viridiplantae; Streptophyta; Magnoliopsida; Poales; Poaceae. The record is from Rfam.
CAUAUAGUCCCUCCGUCUCAAAAUUCUUGUCUUAAAUUUGGCGAAAUACAGAUAUAUCAAGUUAUAUUUUUGUAUUAGAUACAUUCGUAUAUAGACAAAUAUAAGACAAGAAUUUUGGGACGGAUGGAGUACUAA